RNAcentral lists this transfer RNA (74 nucleotides) under Capsulimonas corticalis. RNAcentral describes it as "tRNA-Gly". It matches the Rfam family "tRNA". Rfam says of the family: Transfer RNA (tRNA) molecules are approximately 80 nucleotides in length. The record is from RNAcentral. Lineage: Bacteria; Bacillati; Armatimonadota; Armatimonadia; Capsulimonadales; Capsulimonadaceae.
GCGAAAGUCGUCCAAUGGUAGGACGCCAGCACGCCAUGCUGAUGAUGGGAGUUCGAUUCUCCUCUUUCGCUCCA